AUAUUGGACAAUGGGGGCAACCCUGAUCCAGCCAUGCCGCGUGAGUGAUGAAGGCCUUCGGGUUGUAAAGCUCUUUUGGCGGGGACGAUGAUGACGGUACCCGCAGAAUAAGCCCCGGCUAACUUCGUGCCAGCAGCCGCGGUAAUACAGAGGAUGCAAGUGUUAUUCGGAAUUAUUGGGCGUAAAGCGUCUGUAGGCUGGCAAUUUAGUCUUUUGUUAAAUUUUUAGGCUUAACCUAAAAGCUGCAAAAGAAACUGAUUGUCUGGAGUUUGGCAGAGGUAAAGGGAAUUUCCAGUGGAGCGGUGAAAUGCGUAGAUAUUGGAAAGAACACCGAAGGCGAAGGCACUUUACUGGACCAGUACUGACGCUGAGAGACGAAAGCUAGGGGAGCAAACGGG
RNAcentral lists this ribosomal RNA (398 nucleotides) under uncultured bacterium. RNAcentral describes it as "bacterial SSU rRNA". It matches the Rfam family "Bacterial small subunit ribosomal RNA", at positions 361 to 776 of the family's 1533-position model. The record is from RNAcentral.